GAUGAACGCUGGCGGCGUGCCUAAUACAUGCAAGUCGAGCGAGCAGACGAGGAGCUUGCUCCUCUGACGUUAGCGGCGGACGGGUGAGUAACACGUGGAUAACCUACCUAUAAGACUGGGAUAACUUCGGGAAACCGGAGCUAAUACCGGAUAAUAUAUUGAACCGCAUGGUUCAAUAGUGAAAGACGGUUUUGCUGUCACUUAUAGAUGGAUCCGCGCCGCAUUAGCUAGUUGGUAAGGUAACGGCUUACCAAGGCAACGAUGCGUAGCCGACCUGAGAGGGUGAUCGGCCACACUGGAACUGAGACACGGUCCAGACUCCUACGGGAGGCAGCAGUAGGGAAUCUUCCGCAAUGGGCGAAAGCUUGACGGAGCAACGCCGCGUGAGUGAUGAAGGUCUUCGGAUCGUAAAACUCUGUUAUUAGGGAAGAACAGAUGUGUAAGUAACUAUGCACGUCUUGACGGUACCUAAUCAGAAAGCCACGGCUAACUACGUG
RNAcentral lists this ribosomal RNA (497 nucleotides) under uncultured bacterium. Its description in RNAcentral is "partial 16S ribosomal RNA". It matches the Rfam family "Bacterial small subunit ribosomal RNA", at positions 28 to 507 of the family's 1533-position model. The record is from RNAcentral.